AUACGUAGGGUGCGAGCGCUGUCCGGACUUACUGGGCGUAAAGCGCUCGUAGGUGGUUUGUCGCGUCGUCUGUGAAAUUCCGGGGCUUAACUCCGGGCGUGCAGGCGAUACGGGCAUAACUUGAGUACUGUAGGGGAGACUGGAAUUCCUGGUGUAGCGGUGAAAUGCGCAGAUAUCAGGAGGAACACCGGUGGCGAAGGCGGGUCUCUGGGCAGUAACUGACGCUGGGGAGCGAAAGCAUGGGUAGCGAACAGGAUUAGAUCCCCUGGUAGUCCAUGCCGUAAACGGUGGGCGCUAGGUGUAGGGGUCUUCCACGACUUCUGUGCCGUAGCUAACGCAUUAAGCGCCCCGCCUGGGGUGUACGGCCGCAAGGCUAAAACUCAAAGGAAUUGACGGGG
RNAcentral lists this ribosomal RNA (398 nucleotides) under uncultured bacterium. RNAcentral describes it as "partial 16S ribosomal RNA". It matches the Rfam family "Bacterial small subunit ribosomal RNA", at positions 523 to 918 of the family's 1533-position model. The record is from RNAcentral.